GUACAGGGGAAGUCGGUGAUCCUAUGCUGCCAAGAAAAUCUUCUAGCGAGGUUCGAGCCGCCCGUACCCCAAACCGACUCAGGUGGUUAGGUAGAGAAUACCAAGGCGAUCGAGUGAAUCGUGGUUAAGGAAUUCGGCAAAAUACCCCCGUAACUUCGGGAGAAGGGGGGCCCAGAGGGUGACGGGACUUGCUCCCCGAGCCUGAACGGCCGCAGAGACCAGGGAGAAGCGACUGUUUACUAAAAACACAGGUCCGUGCCAAGUCGCAAGACGAUGUAUACGGACUGACGCCUGCCCGGUGCUGGAACGUUAAGGGGACCGGUUAGCCUCACGGCGAAGCUGAGAACUUAAGCGCCAGUAAACGGCGGUGGUAACUAUAACCAUCCUAAGGUAGCGAAAUUCCUUGUCGGGUAAGUUCCGACCUGCACGAAUGGCGUAACGAUUUCUCCACUGUCUCAACCACGAACUCGGCGAAAUUGCACUACGAGUAAAGAUGCUCGUUACGCGCAGAAGGACGGAAGGACCCCGGGACCUUUACUACAGCUUGGUAUUGGUGUUCGGUACGGCUUGUGUAGGAUAGGUGGGAGACUGAGAAGCUGACACGCCAGUGUCGGUGGAGUCAACGUUGAAAUACCACUCUGGUCGUUCUGGAUAUCUAACCUAGGUCCGUGAUCCGGAUCAGGGACAGUGCCUGGUGGGUAGUUUAACUGGGGCGGUUGCCUCCUAAAAGGUAACGGAGGCGCCCAAAGGUUCCCUCAGCCUGGUUGGCAAUCAGGUUUUGAGUGUAAGUGCACAAGGGAGCUUGACUGUGAGACUGACAAGUCGAACAGGGACGAAAGUCGGGACUAGUGAUCCGGCGGUGGCUUGUGGAAGCGCCGUCGCUCAACGGAUAAAAGGUACCCCGGGGAUAACAGGCUGAUCUUGCCCAAGAGUCCAUAUCGACGGCAUGGUUUGGCACCUCGAUGUCGGCUCGUCGCAUCCUGGGGCUGGAGUAGGUCCCAAGGGUUGGGCUGUUCGCCCAUUAAAGCGGUACGCGAGCUGGGUUUAGAACGUCGUGAGACAGUUCGGUCCCUAUCCUCUGCGCGCGCAGGAAACUUGAGAAGGGCUGUCCCUAGUACGAGAGGACCGGGAUGGACGAACCUCUGGUGUGUCAGUUGUUCUGCCAAGAGCACCGCUGAUUAGCUACGUUCGGGAGUGAUAACCGCUGAAAGCAUCUAAGCGGGAAGCAUGCUUCAAGAUGAGGUUUCCAUGGGGUUUACCCCAAGAGGCUCCCAGCUAGACUACUGGGUUGAUAGGCCGGAUGUGGAAGUGCGGUAACGCAUGGAGCUGACCGGUACUAAUAAGCCGACAACUUGACC
Molecule: ribosomal RNA, 1358 nt
Filed under: metagenome
Description: bacterial LSU rRNA
Rfam family: Bacterial large subunit ribosomal RNA
Source: RNAcentral